GCCAAUGUAGCUCAGUCGGUAGAGCAAUUCACUCGUAAUGAAUAGGUCGUCCGUUCGAUUCGGAUCAUUGGCUCCA
RNAcentral lists this transfer RNA (76 nucleotides) under Lentisphaeria bacterium. Its description in RNAcentral is "tRNA-Thr". It matches the Rfam family "tRNA". Rfam says of the family: Transfer RNA (tRNA) molecules are approximately 80 nucleotides in length. Their secondary structure includes four short double-helical elements and three loops (D, anti-codon, and T loops). Further hydrogen bonds mediate the characteristic L-shaped molecular structure. tRNAs have two regions of fundamental functional importance: the anti-codon, which is responsible for specific mRNA codon recognition, and the 3' end, to which the tRNAs corresponding amino acid is attached (by aminoacyl-tRNA synthetases). tRNAs cope with the degeneracy of the genetic code in two manners: having more than one tRNA (with a specific anti-codon) for a particular amino acid; and 'wobble' base-pairing, i.e. permitting non-standard base-pairing at the 3rd anti-codon position. The record is from RNAcentral. Lineage: Bacteria; Pseudomonadati; Lentisphaerota; Lentisphaeria. RNAcentral also lists the same sequence under 1 other name.